This 330-nucleotide unclassified non-coding RNA is filed under the name soil metagenome. RNAcentral describes it as "partial contains 5.8S ribosomal RNA, internal transcribed spacer 2, and large subunit ribosomal RNA". The stretch from base 1 to 120 matches the Rfam family "5.8S ribosomal RNA", at positions 35 to 154 of the family's 154-position model. The record is from RNAcentral.
GAUGAAGAACGCAGCGAAAUGCGAUAAGUAGUGUGAAUUGCAGAAUUCAGUGAAUCAUCGAAUCUUUGAACGCACAUUGCGCCCCUCGGUAUUCCGAGGGGCAUGCCUGUUCGAGCGUCAUUUCAACCCUCAAGCACAGCUUGGUCUUGGGCUUCGCCGCUAACCCGGCGGGUCUUAAAAUCAGUGGCGGUGCCGUCGGGCCCUGAGCGCAGUAAUCUCUCUCGCUAUAGGGUCCCGGCGGAUGCUGGCCAGUAACCCCCAAUUUUCUAUGGUUGACCUCGGAUCAGGUAGGGAUACCCGCUGAACUUAAGCAUAUCAAUAAGCGGAGGA